Vombatus ursinus (common wombat) is the source of this 663-nucleotide long non-coding RNA. RefSeq lists it as uncharacterized. Lineage: Eukaryota; Metazoa; Chordata; Mammalia; Diprotodontia; Vombatidae. The transcript has 3 exons. The record is from RefSeq and is a predicted model, not a curated record.
AUUAAUUGAUAUGGUACACUUACUCUACAUGAACUUGGAAAAAAGUAUAUCAAAGCUAUGUCUCUUUAAAUCUACUGUGGAAGAUAUUCCUUCUGGCCCAUAGGAUGCCAAAAUGACUUGAUGAUUUAUUUAUGUAGAGCUUGGCAGACUGGAGUCCAGAUUGUGGCUGAAGCUGAAUUUUAUGAGCCUUCCCCUAGUUCACCUAUUGAUUCACAGCUGGAUAAUCAGAAAUUACAGGAGCAAACAGACCUGGCGAAACAAUUUCCAAACCUAUUUUCCUCCUGUACAUACUUUCCAAAAGUGAAAAAUAUCAAGGCCAAAAAGGGAAAUAAUUUGUUAAGGGCAGAAGGAAGGAUUUCAACAAAGGAAUAAAGGAACAGAGUCACUGGGGGAGUCAGGUGGAGGUUUAUGGGUAAUGAAGAUGGCGCUGUGCUUUGACAUUCUAAACUUAAACCUGACGACUGCCAGUGACCAGCUCUGUGAAUGUGGCAGUUUAUCAAACUUCAGAGGCUUCAGUUUAUAGGCUUUGACAUCUGGCCAGAGCUACAAGGCUUUUUCAAAGUGAAAUAAAGGGUACUAUGGACAGGCAAAGGAUUAAACUCUGGUCAGUUUAAAUAUUGAUAAUACUGUCAGACUUGGUGAAUAAAUUGGUCACUAAAGUGC